Molecule: ribosomal RNA, 484 nt
Filed under: uncultured bacterium
Lineage: Bacteria
Description: partial 16S ribosomal RNA
Rfam family: Bacterial small subunit ribosomal RNA
Source: RNAcentral
AUUGAACGCUGGCGGCAGGCCUAACACAUGCAAGUCGAGCGGAUGAAGGGAGCUUGCUCCUGGAUUCAGCGGGGGACGGGUGAGUAAUGGCUAAGAAUAUGCCUGGUAGUGGGGGAUAGCGUCCGGACACGGGCGCAAAUACCGCAUACCUCCUGAGGAAGAAAGGGGGGGAUCUUCGGACCUCCCGCUAUCAGAUGAGCCGAGGUCGGAUUAGCUAGUUGGUGGGGUAAAGGCCUACCAAGGCGACGAUCCGUAGCUGGUCUGAGAGGAUGAUCAGUCACACUGGAACUGAGACACGGUCCAGACUCCUACGGGAGGCAGCAGUGGGGAAUAUUGGACAAUGGGCGCAAGCCUGAUCCAGCCAUGCCGCGUGUGUGAAGAAGGUCUUCGGAUUGUAAAGCACUUUAAGUUGGGAGGAAGGGCAGUAAGUUAAUACCUCGCUGUUUUGACGUUACCAACAGAAUAAGCACCGGCUAACUUCGUG